This 709-nucleotide ribosomal RNA is filed under the name uncultured fungus. Its description in RNAcentral is "eukaryotic LSU rRNA". The stretch from base 267 to 422 matches the Rfam family "5.8S ribosomal RNA". The record is from RNAcentral. Lineage: Eukaryota; Fungi.
CACAAGCUUUCCGUAGGUGAACCUGCGGAAGGAUCAUUGUCGUGACCCUGACCAAAACAGACUGCGCACGCGUCAUCCAAUCCGUCGGCGACGGCACCGUCCGUCGCUCGGCCAAUGCCUCGACCACCUCCCCCUCCUCGGAGCGGGUGGGGGCUCGGGGUAAAACAACCCACGGCGCCGAAGGCGUCAAGGAACACUGUGCCUAACCCGGGGGCAUGUCUAGCUUGCUAGCCGUCCCUCGUGUUGCAAAUCUAUUUAAUCCACACGACUCUCGGCAACGGAUAUCUCGGCUCUCGCAUCGAUGAAGAACGUAGCGAAAUGCGAUACCUGGUGUGAAUUGCAGAAUCCCGCGAACCAUCGAGUCUUUGAACGCAAGUUGCGCCCGAGGCCACUCGGCCGAGGGCACGCCUGCCUGGGCGUCACGCCAAAACACGCUCCCAACCACUCUCAACGGGAAUCGGGAUGCGGCAUCUGGUCCCUCGUCUCUCAAGGGACGGUGGACCGAAGAUUGGGCUGCCGGCGUACCGCGCCGGACACAGCGCAUGGUGGGCGUCCUCGCUUUAUCAAUGCAGUGCAUCCGGCGCGCAGCUGGCAUUAUGGCCUUUGAACGACCCAACAAACGAAGCGCACGUCGCUUCGACCGCGACCCCAGGUCAGGCGGGACUACCCGCUGAGUUUAAGCAUAUCAAUAAGCGGAGGAGGAUCCGUG